RNAcentral lists this ribosomal RNA (330 nucleotides) under uncultured bacterium. RNAcentral describes it as "partial 16S ribosomal RNA". It matches the Rfam family "Bacterial small subunit ribosomal RNA", at positions 355 to 678 of the family's 1533-position model. The record is from RNAcentral.
UAGGGAAUCUUCCACAAUGGACGCAAGUCUGAUGGAGCAACGCCGCGUGAGUGAAGAAGGUUUUCGGACCGUAAAGCUCUGUUGUUGGUGAAGAAGGAUAGAGGUAGUAACUGGCCUUUAUUUGACGGUAAUCAACCAGAAAGUCACGGCUAACUACGUGCCAGCAGCCGCGGUAAUACGUAGGUGGCAAGCGUUGUCCGGAUUUAUUGGGCGUAAAGCGAGCGCAGGCGGAAGAAUAAGUCUGAUGUGAAAGCCCUCGGCUUAACCGAGGAAUUGCAUCGGAAACUGUUUUCUUGAGUGCAGAAGAGGAGAGUAGAACUCCAUGAUGUG